RNAcentral lists this ribosomal RNA (403 nucleotides) under bacterium. RNAcentral's name for it is "partial 16S ribosomal RNA". It matches the Rfam family "Bacterial small subunit ribosomal RNA", at positions 355 to 776 of the family's 1533-position model. The record is from RNAcentral.
UGGGGAAUAUUGCACAAUGGGGGAAACCCUGAUGCAGCGACGCCGCGUGAACGAAGAAGGUAUUCGUAUCGUAAAGUUCUGUCCUAUGGGAAGAUAAUGACAGUACCAUAGAAGAAAGCUCCGGCUAAAUACGUGCCAGCAGCCGCGGUAAUACGUAUGGAGCGAGCGAUGUCCGGAAUUAUUGGGCGUAAAGGGUACGCAGGCGGUUUAAUAAGUCGAAUGUUAAAGGUCGGGGCUCAACCCCGCAAAGCAUUGGAAACUGAUAAAAUUGAGUAGUGGAGAGGAAAGUGGAAUUCCUAGUGUAGUGGUGAAAUACGUAGAUAUUAGGAGGAAUACCAGUAGCGAAGGCGACUUUCUGGACACAAACUGACGCUGAGGUACGAAAGCGUGGGGAGCAAACAGG